GCGAACGCUGGCGGCAGGCCUAACACAUGCAAGUCGAGCGCCCAGCAAUGGGAGCGGCAGACGGGAGAGUAACACGUGGGAACAUGCCCUUCAGUACGGAACAACCAAGGGAAACUUUGGCUAAUGCCGUAUACGCCCGUAAGGGGAAAGAUUUAUCGCUGAAGGAUUGGCCCGCGUCUGAUUAGCUAGUUGGUGGGGUAAUGGCCCACCAAGGCGACGAUCAGUAGCUGGUCUGAGAGGAUGAUCAGCCUCACUGGGACUGAGACACGGCCCAGACUCCUACGGGAGGCAGCAGUGGGGAAUAUUGGACAAUGGGGGCAACCCUGAUCCAGCAAUGCCGCGUGGGUGAUGAAGGCCUUCGGGUUGUAAAGCCCUUUCGGCGGGGACGAUGAUGACGGUACCCGCAGAAGAAGCCCCGGCUAACUUCGU
RNAcentral lists this ribosomal RNA (429 nucleotides) under uncultured bacterium. Its description in RNAcentral is "bacterial SSU rRNA". It matches the Rfam family "Bacterial small subunit ribosomal RNA", at positions 29 to 506 of the family's 1533-position model. The record is from RNAcentral.